UAAUAAGUGUUUUAUGGCACUUUUUAAAUCCAUAUCCACCUUGUGUGCAAUGUCAGUCGAUCUUCUUCAUGGAGAUCGACCAAACAUCAACCUUUAUCUUUUAACAUCUUUGUCUGAAAAAUAUUAUGGAUAAACAAUUCAAAAUA
This 146-nucleotide unclassified non-coding RNA is filed under the name soil metagenome. Its description in RNAcentral is "partial internal transcribed spacer 1". The record is from RNAcentral.